CUGGACAAAACCCAGCUCUGCCCACCUCAUAGUUUUUUCAAAUUCCUGACUAGGCUUAAAAAAGACUGGUCAAUCUGGUUGGACCCCAACAUUUUUAAAGCCAGAAGUCUGAGAAUCUUUCAGGGGAAGUAUGGGAGCAAUGCUGUGGGUGUUGCACUAACUCUGUUCAGUAAAAAGAACUGGGCUUGGAGUGACAGAGACCUAACUUCCCGUUCUGCCCCUGCCGGGGAUGUGUGCAAACCCAGGCAUGCUGUUUGAACUCAGCUUUGUCAUCUACAAACAGGAAUAACAACAUUCCUGCCAAGGGCUGUGGGGAAGAUCAGGGAUCAAGAUCACUCCACUUACCGGCUCUGUGGGAGGCUUGGUGCUGGCUGAGGUGUGUCAGUGACUGCCACGGGCUGCACCCCUCACUGUUGCCUGAAGUCACCCAAGGUCGCCCAAGGUCAGUGGGAAAUAUCCAGGGAUGACGGUGGAUCCUGGGAGCGCCUCACAACAGCUACCUUCGGCACAGCACGACUUUGGAAGGCCUAAAGUUUGAACCAAAAAUGGAGCCCCUGCCGCUCUCCCCAUAUGGGAUUCAAAUUGAAAAGCUACAAGGUCCACACUCUGCUGAAGCCCCACACCACUGCCACUCUGGAACAGGCACCUCCACCAGCCACCCUGUCCCUCCCUGUCAUUUAUUCUCCCAGCUAAAGCAUGAAUCUAUAAAAGGAAGCUCUCUUCUCACAGGAUCCAACUCGUCCUCCACCCUCACACAACACUCCCUCGAGGAAGAUGUAAUGUUCCAGGAAUGGCCCAGCAUGUGUCAUUAUGGAAAGACAGAGGACGAAACAGCCAUCCUGUCGACUUCUUUGUAAGGGGCAUCAGAGUCAAAGACUGCCAGAACACCCACACUGAUCCUACCUGCAUAAUGUGGAAUGAAUGCUAUGGAUAAACUGCUGAAGAUGGUUCCUGUCCAUUUGACUCUGAAGGGUGUCUUCUUUCACGUUGAAGAACAGGAGACAAUCAAAAUGUGAAACGUAUGCUGAAGCCAACCAGAACAUCAAAGGACAGUCAAAAGCGCUAACCAUGAAACUAUAUUUCUACUAAUACAUUCUUUUAAAAAAAAAAUAAAAACAAACCUGCGUGUCCGUGCU
This 1136-nucleotide long non-coding RNA is filed under the name Homo sapiens (human). RNAcentral's name for it is "HSALNT0162534". The record is from RNAcentral. Lineage: Eukaryota; Metazoa; Chordata; Mammalia; Primates; Hominidae.